UUGGAGGGCAAGUCUGGUGCCAGCAGCCGCGGUAAUUCCAGCUCCAAUAGCGUAUAUUAAAGUUGUUGCAGUUAAAAAGCUCGUAGUUGAACUUCAGGCCUGUCCAGACGGUCCGCCUUAAUUGGUGUGUACUGUCCUUGGGUGGGUCCUACCUUCUGGCGAAGCGGCAUGGCCUUAAUUGGUUGUGUCGGGGAACCAGGACUUUUACUGUGAAAAAAUUAGAGUGUUCAAAGCAGGCAAAUAUGCUCGAAUACAUUAGCAUGGAAUAAUGGAAUAGGACGAUGGUUCUAUUUUGUUGGUUCUAGGACCGUUGUAAUGAUUAAUAGGGAUAGUUGGG
RNAcentral lists this ribosomal RNA (337 nucleotides) under Paraglomus sp. RNAcentral's name for it is "bacterial SSU rRNA". It matches the Rfam family "Eukaryotic small subunit ribosomal RNA", at positions 548 to 886 of the family's 1831-position model. Lineage: Eukaryota; Fungi; Glomeromycota; Glomeromycetes; Paraglomerales; Paraglomeraceae. The record is from RNAcentral. RNAcentral also lists the same sequence under 2 other names.